This 539-nucleotide ribosomal RNA is filed under the name fungal sp. 51616. Its description in RNAcentral is "eukaryotic LSU rRNA". The stretch from base 173 to 326 matches the Rfam family "5.8S ribosomal RNA". The record is from RNAcentral. Lineage: Eukaryota; Fungi.
UUUCCGUAGGUGAACCUGCGGAAGGAUCAUUACCGAGUGCGGGCCCCUCGGGGCCCAACCUCCCACCCGUGUUGCCCGAACCUAUGUUGCCUCGGCGGGCCCCGCGCCCGCCGACGGCCCCCCUGAACGCUGUCUGAAGUUGCAGUCUGAGACCUAUAACGAAAUUAGUUAAAACUUUCAACAACGGAUCUCUUGGUUCCGGCAUCGAUGAAGAACGCAGCGAAAUGCGAUAACUAAUGUGAAUUGCAGAAUUCAGUGAAUCAUCGAGUCUUUGAACGCACAUUGCGCCCUCUGGUAUUCCGGAGGGCAUGCCUGUCCGAGCGUCAUUGCUGCCCUCAAGCCCGGCUUGUGUGUUGGGCCCCGUCCCCCCCGCCGGGGGGACGGGCCCGAAAGGCAGCGGCGGCACCGCGUCCGGUCCUCGAGCGUAUGGGGCUUCGUCACCCGCUCUAGUAGGCCCGGCCGGCGCCAGCCGACCCCCAACCUUUAAUUAUCUCAGGUUGACCUCGGAUCAGGUAGGGAUACCCGCUGAACUUAAGCAU